CUUUCUGGGUCCACGCAAAUCACGGAGGAGGAGAGAAAAAAGAGCAGGUGUCCAGGUGAAACUCAGACUGUUCUGGAAGCAGGGACUAGCUGUGCCUGGAUCUAUGGGACGGCGUUACCUCAGGAGUGUUCAUCCAGACUCUCCGGUUGUUUGACUUUCCAUCCCCACGUGGAAUAGAGGUUGCUGGGAUCACUGGAAACGCCAGCAGAAGAGGAAGAACUUUUCACAGUGCUCGCUUCAGAAAGUUUCACUCAGCGAUCACUACCACCUCUUUGUCUCCUGAUCUGUUUCUCUGACUUGUCCUCUCUCAGUAGAUCCCUGGAGCUAUGUGAAGUUCCCUCCUGCUUCAAACGCUCCACGAAGAAACCCACCAUUAUAGAACUGAAUGAUUAUAGACCUUUCGCCUUGAUGUCUGUGGUCAUGAAAUCCUUUGAACGCCUGGUGUUAGCUCAUCUGAAGGACAUUACAGGAGACCGGCUGGAUCUACUGCAAUUUGCCUAUCAGGAAAACAGGUUGGAGGAUGACGCAGUGAACAUGGGACUGCAUUACAUCCUGCAACAUCUCGACCGCCUGGGAACUUAUGCCAGGAUCCUGUUUGUGAACUUCACUUCAGCUUUUGAUACUGUUGUGCCUGAACUUCUCUUCUCCAAACUCUCCCAGCUUAGUGUGUCACCAGCUAUCUGUCAGUGGAUCACCAGCUUCCUGACAGAUAGAAAGCAGCAAAUGAGGCUGGGGGAGAUCACCUCUGAAACACAGUCUCCCAGUAUUUAUGUGUCCUCUCACCACUAUUGGUCUCCCUCUACACCAAUGACUGGCCUUUUUUUUUUUCAUUUUUGACCUGGUGCCCUCUGGCAGAUGGUAUAGAAGCCUGCAGACCAGGACCACCCGACACAGGAACAGUUUCUUUCCCCUUGCCAGCUCCCUCCUAAAUAGUUGAACUGUCACAUUGCUUCACACUGACAGACUGCAACUUAACAUUCUGUAUAUCCUGUGGUAUUCAUUUUUGUAAUCCUGUAUUUUUUGUAUAUAAGGAUUUAUUUAGAUAGUUUUUUAUAUUGUUGGUUUAUGUAUAUUAUUUUUGUCGCUCAUAUAUUGUUGUGUUUUGCAUUGUUGUGCUUGAGAGACACCAUCGACCGAAACCAAAUUCCUUGUAUGUGUUUGCGCACAUACAAAAAAUUUGAUUUUCAAUAAAGGUUGUAAGAGUUUCUGCAAUUUUAUCUGCUGCUUAUUUUAUCUUCUAUCUUUUGUACAUCCUCAGUUAAAGAAAAUAAUACAUAUCACUAACAUGUUGUUUGCUCUGUGAAGUUGUAACAGAGUAAAACUCACAGUGUUUCCUUUCAUCUGUUUUUUUUCCUGAAAUGACAAAAAUCACAAAAGAGAGCUGAAAUAAUUAAAA
Molecule: long non-coding RNA, 1396 nt
Organism: Oreochromis aureus
Lineage: Eukaryota; Metazoa; Chordata; Actinopteri; Cichliformes; Cichlidae
Exons: 4
Source: RefSeq, a predicted model, not a curated record